UACCCUAUACAGGAGGAUAGCCUAGGGAAACCUGGAUUAACCCUUCAUAGUAUUAUUGGAUGCAUCAUUUGAUAGUUAAAACUGAGGUGGUAUAGGAUGGGCAUGCGUCUGAUUAGUUAGUUGGCGGGGUAAUGGCCCACCAAGACGAUGAUCAGUAGGGGUUCUGAGAGGAAGAUCCCCCACACUGGCACUGAGAUACGGGCCAGACUCCUACGGGAGGCAGCAGUAGGGAAUAUUGGUCAAUGGAUGCAAGUCUGAACCAGCCAUGCCGCGUGCAGGAAGAAGGCCUUCUGGGUUGUAAACUGCUUUUGCCAGGGGAUAAAAUUUCCAUGCGUGGAAAACUGAAGGUACCUGGUGAAUAAGCCACGGCUAACUACGUG
RNAcentral lists this ribosomal RNA (380 nucleotides) under uncultured bacterium. Its description in RNAcentral is "bacterial SSU rRNA". It matches the Rfam family "Bacterial small subunit ribosomal RNA", at positions 127 to 507 of the family's 1533-position model. The record is from RNAcentral.